This 253-nucleotide ribosomal RNA is filed under the name uncultured bacterium. RNAcentral's name for it is "partial 16S ribosomal RNA". It matches the Rfam family "Bacterial small subunit ribosomal RNA", at positions 524 to 776 of the family's 1533-position model. The record is from RNAcentral.
UACGAAGGGGGCUAGCGUUGCUCGGAAUCACUGGGCGUAAAGCGCACGUAGGCGGCUUACUAAGUCAGGGGUGAAAUCCUGGAGCUCAACUCCAGAACUGCCUUUGAUACUGAAAGUCUUGAGUAUGGGAGAGGUGAGUGGAACUGCGAGUGUAGAGGUGAAAUUCGUAGAUAUUCGCAAGAACACCAGUGGCGAAGGCGGCUCACUGGCCCAUAACUGACGCUGAGGCACGAAAGCGUGGGGAGCAAACAGG